Molecule: ribosomal RNA, 396 nt
Filed under: Triticum aestivum (bread wheat)
Lineage: Eukaryota; Viridiplantae; Streptophyta; Magnoliopsida; Poales; Poaceae
Description: partial small subunit ribosomal RNA
Source: RNAcentral
AUGGCCUGCCGCCGCCCCACCCCGCCGUCGCCGUCGCCGGCGCCGGCGCCGGUGCCUCCGCUCGAGGACGACGACCUCCUCGAGGAGAUCCUCCUCCGCCUCCCCCCGCAGCCAUCCUCCCUCCUCCGCGCCUCCCUCGUCAGCAAGCGCUGGCGCGGCCUCGUCAAGCGCCGCCGCUUCCUCCGCCUCUUCCGCGCCCGCCACGGGAGCCUCCCCCUCCUCGUCGUCUUCCCCGGUGAGGUCGACAUGAGCCACCCCUUAUUCACGCCCUCCCUCGACCCGCCCGACAGGGUACCCGCCGCGCGCUUCCCCAUGCCGCUCGCCCCCCUCGCCUUCCCCCUCGUCCUCGACUGCCGCCACGGCCACGCCCUCCUCCUCAACCGGCGGGUCAGAUAG